UAAUGUUUUUACAAAACAUUAUUAAUAGAACACCACAUAUACUGUAAUAACAGCUGCUUUUUCAAACGCCAAACAGAGAGAGAGUGACACAGACUGAGUCAUCUCCAUCCAACUCUCAAUCUGCAUCAGUGUAUUGGCACUAUGAUGAUUUGCACUGUGUGUUCUACUGAAACAAAUGCAGUUUGGGAGUUUAUUAAGUAGUCAUUUAUGUAGUAUUUCCACUGCUUCUGUUUUGAUUUGCUGCCUGCCUUGCAUGUCAGUGUCUGUCUACCCUGUGUGGCCACUUGCUGCUUUCACUCCAGUUAAGUCUUUACUCCGGACACCCCCACCCCCCACCUCUCCACUUCCACUAUCCCUACCCUCCUCACAUGCAUCGACCUCUUUGGGACAAGCUUCACUUGUGGUCUUGCACGCGGUCAAAUACAGUCUUAACAUAUUCAAGGAAUCACCCCUGUCACAUUGCACGAUCACGGACACAAAUGAUGCAUUUCUAAGUAGCCCCGAAACUUGGACUCAUCCUUGGCUGACUAACUGUUAGGUACCGAGGUGCGAGUAGCAGGGAAGGAAAGUUAUGCAAUUCAGAUGUGUUGUUGUGUGCAGCAGGAAACAGCGGCACUCGCUGAGAAGUUAAGAUGGGGUACGAGCGAGGCGAGCAUGUGGUGUACAGCAUGAGUGCUUUGUGUACGCAGGCACCCACUCAACUUUACGCAUGGAGACGCGUUUCGCUAAAGCUCUCCAACUGAUACCUGAAAAUCAUCUAACAUAAGGAGCUAAUGCUAGAAGGUGGUAAAGAAGAAUGUGAGAUUUCUUGUUGCUCUGUAAAGCGCAUUCGAAUGGAGGAGGGGAUACAGGGAAACAGCAGCCCCGCCUGCUCAUGACUAUUAGGCUACAGUUGUGCAAUAGCCGUCAGCCUGAAAGGACAUUCGGUGACCGACGGCCACAAGGGGCCACUGGCUGAAAUCAGUAACAAAGAGCUAAUGACUAUGAUUUAACAUUGAUAGUGUUGACGAGAGUUUUGAUCAUUAGACAGGAAAGCAGAAAAGGCUUUUAAAUCAGUGAUGGCGACUGUAUUGGAGUCUAAAGAGGAGUAAUUAAACAUUUAAGAAUGUUUCUUCAAUUGAAGCACUUUGGAAAUAAUGGUAGAUUGUCCCUUUUCAAUAACAUUCCUCACCUGAAAAGUAAAUCAAUACUUAAAAAUCAAUCUUUCAAAUUAAUAUUUUAUUCACAGGCAAACAAAACUAAAACAAAAGUCUUACAAAUCUGAUUACAAAUUUUUCAGCUCUGGUACGGUCAUCAGGGCAGUCAGUGGGUGACAAGAGGAUCACUGUGGGAUAAAGUGGAGAUCAAAGAACGACCAUCAAGUCAGCUGUCUGAGAGAGACCGUUGGGUUGUCACUCUUGGCCUGUGUGCAAUUCCUAACUUUUGCCAGGCUACAAAGUUCUUUUGGCACAAACAGAAAAGCAUGUGAGAGAAAUGAAGGUGGUAAAGCAGUUUUUACAUAUAGCCAGGUUGAAGAUAGUGUCAACUAAGUUCUUUUUUUCCCAAACCGCAAUCCAUGUCAACAAAUACUCCUAAUAAAUUACGUGUUUAAAAUAUCA
Long non-coding RNA from Lates calcarifer (barramundi perch), 1598 nucleotides. RefSeq lists it as uncharacterized. The record is from RefSeq and is a predicted model, not a curated record. Lineage: Eukaryota; Metazoa; Chordata; Actinopteri; Centropomidae. The transcript has 2 exons.